RNAcentral lists this non-coding RNA (24 nucleotides) under Xenopus laevis (African clawed frog). Its record names the gene xla-miR-19b-5p. Lineage: Eukaryota; Metazoa; Chordata; Amphibia; Anura; Pipidae. The record is from miRBase by way of RNAcentral. RNAcentral also lists the same sequence under 2 other names.
AGUUUUGCAGGUUUGCAUCCAGCU